Molecule: ribosomal RNA, 909 nt
Filed under: uncultured Bacteroidota bacterium
Lineage: Bacteria; Pseudomonadati; Bacteroidota
Description: bacterial SSU rRNA
Rfam family: Bacterial small subunit ribosomal RNA
Source: RNAcentral
UCCUGGCUCAGGAUGAACGCUAGCUACAGGCUUAACACAUGCAAGUCGAGGGGAAACGACAUCGAAAGCUUGCUUUUGAUGGGCGUCGACCGGCGCACGGGUGAGUAACGCGUAUCCAACCUGCCCACCACUUGGGGAUAACCUUGCGAAAGUAAGACUAAUACCCAAUGAUAUCUCUAGAAGACAUCUGAAAGAGAUUAAAGAUUUAUCGGUGAUGGAUGGGGAUGCGUCUGAUUAGCUUGUUGGCGGGGUAACGGCCCACCAAGGCUACGAUCAGUAGGGGUUCUGAGAGGAAGGUCCCCCACAUUGGAGCUGAGACACGGUCCAAACUCCUACGGGAGGCAGCAGUGAGGAAUAUUGGUCAAUGGACGAGAGUCUGAACCAGCCAAGUAGCGUGCAGGAUGACGGCCCUAUGGGUUGUAAACUGCUUUUAUAAGGGAAUAAAGUGAGUCUCGUGAGACUUUUUGCAUGUACCUUAUGAAUAAGGACCGGCUAAUUCCGUGCCAGCAGCCGCGGUAAUACGGAAGGUCCGGGCGUUAUCCGGAUUUAUUGGGUUUAAAGGGAGCGUAGGCCGGAGAUUAAGCGUGUUGUGAAAUGUAGAUGCUCAACAUCUGCACUGCAGCGCGAACUGGUUUCCUUGAGUACGCACAAAGUGGGCGGAAUUCGUGGUGUAGCGGUGAAAUGCUUAGAUAUCACGAAGAACUCCGAUUGCGAAGGCAGCUCACUGGAGCGCAACUGACGCUGAAGCUCGAAAGUGCGGGUAUCGAACAGGAUUAGAUACCCUGGUAGUCCGCACGGUAAACGAUGGAUGCCCGCUGUUGGUCUGAAUAGGUCAGCGGCCAAGGGAAAGCAUUAAGCAUCCCACCUGGGGAGUACGCCGGAAAGGGUGCAACUCAAAUGAAUUGACGG